This 313-nucleotide ribosomal RNA is filed under the name uncultured Alphaproteobacteria bacterium. RNAcentral's name for it is "bacterial SSU rRNA". It matches the Rfam family "Bacterial small subunit ribosomal RNA", at positions 602 to 914 of the family's 1533-position model. Lineage: Bacteria; Pseudomonadati; Pseudomonadota; Alphaproteobacteria. The record is from RNAcentral.
CCCUGGGUCAACCCGGGAACUGCGCUUGAUACUGGUGCGCUUGAAUCCAGGAGAGGUUGGUGGAAUUCCCAGUGUAGAGGUGAAAUUCGUAGAGAUUGGGAAGAACACCGGUGGCGAAGGCGGCCAACUGGACUGGUAUUGACGCUGAGGCGCGAAAGCGUGGGGAGCAAACAGGAUUAGAUACCCUGGUAGUCCACGCUGCAAACGAUGUGUGCUAGCCGUUGGGGCUCUUAGAGCUUCGGUGGCGUCGCUAACGCUUUAAGCACACCGCCUGGGGAGUACGGUCGCAAGAUUAAAACUCAAAGGAAUUGAC